AUGUGCAUAGAUAGUAUAUGUCUGUUUACAUGUGACUAUUGAGUGAAUUAAUGUUUUUUAAAAACUAGAUAUACUUUUCUUUUUUAAAAAAUAUAUCAAGGCUAGACACAGUGGCUCACACCCGUAAUCCCAGCAUUUUGGGAGGCCGACACAGGCAGAUCACCUGAGGUCAGAAGUUCGAAACCAGCCUGGCCAACAUGGCAAAAUCCUGUCUCUACUAAAAAUACAUAAAUUAGCUGGGCGUGGUGGCGGCUGCCUAUAAUCCCAGCUGCUUGGGAGGCUGAGGCAGGAGAAUCACUUGCAUCUGGAAGGUGGAAGUUGCAGUGAGCCGAGCCGUCAUUGUACUCCAGCCUGGGCGACAGGAGUGAAACUCCGUCUCAAAAAAAAAAGAAAAGAAAAAAAUCCAGUCCAACAGUUAAAAAAAUAAAACAUUUAUCAAACACAGUGCCAAGUGUUGCAAAUAUAGCAUACACAAACAUGGUUUGCCUUUGAAGAACUUACACCCCAUAGGGGAGAUGUUUCCUUUAUAAAAUGCCAUUUACAGAGCAAUACUGAGCUAUUGUAAGCCCCAGAUGUCACUACAAACAGGGACUGCUAUUGUAAAAUCAUGUCAAAAUCGAUUUACCUGGCUUAUCAGAAAAAGGCUAAAUAUUCUUUCAUCUUUAAUUCAUUCUCUUGUAAGGGGUUCCAAAGAGAUUUUUUUUUCAACUUUUAUUUUAGCUUCUGGGGGUACAUGUGCAGGUUUGUUACAUGAGUAAAUUGCAUGUCACUGAGUGUUGGUGUAUGAAUGAUCCCAUUGCCCAAGUAGUGAGGAGACUACCUAAUAGGUAGUUUUCCAACCUUCCCUCCUCUAGUAGUAUGCACUGUCUAUCGUUGCCAUCUUUAUGUCCAUAUGUAUUCAAUGUGUGUAGCUCCCACUUAUAAGUGAGGAUACCUGGUAUUUGGUUUUCCAUUCCUGCUUAAAUUUGCUUAGGACAGUGGCCUUCAGCUGCAUCCACAUUGCUGCAAAUGACAUAAUUUCAUUCCUUUUAAUGGCUGUGUAGUAUUCCAUAGUGUACAUGCACCAAUUUUCUUUAUCCCGUCUAUCAUUGAUGGUCAUCCAGGUGGGUUCCAUACCUUUGCUAUUGUGAACAGUGCUGUGAUGAAUAUAUGAGUGCAUGUGUCUUUUUUGUAGAAUGAUUUAUUUUCCUUUGGAUAUAUACCCAGUAGUGGGAUUGCUGGGUUGAAUGGUAGUUAUAUUUCAAGUUCUUUAAGAAAUCUCCAAACUGUAAGCCAGGCACAGUGACUCACACCUGUAAUCUCAGCACUUUGGGAGGCCGAGGCGAGUGGAUCACCUGAGGUCAGGAGUUCAAAACCAGCCUGGCCAACAUGGUGAAACCCUGUUACUACUAAAAUACAAAAGUUAGCCGGGUGUGGUAGCGCACACCUGUCGUCUCAGCUACUCAGGAGGCUGUGGCAGGAUAGUUGCUUGAACCCAGGAGGCAGAGGUUGCAGUGAACCGAGAUCAUGCCACUGCACUCCAGUCUGGGCAAGAGUAAGACUCUGUCUCAAAAAAAAAAAAAAAAAAAAA
This 1570-nucleotide long non-coding RNA is filed under the name Macaca fascicularis (crab-eating macaque). RNAcentral's name for it is "lncRNA (ENSMFAG00000049825.1)". Lineage: Eukaryota; Metazoa; Chordata; Mammalia; Primates; Cercopithecidae. The record is from RNAcentral.